AUUGAACGCUGGCGGCAUGCCUUACACAUGCAAGUCGAACGGUAACAGGUCUUCGGAUGCUGACGAGUGGCGAACGGGUGAGUAAUACAUCGGAACGUGCCCGAUCGUGGGGGAUAACGAGGCGAAAGCUUUGCUAAUACCGCAUACGAUCUACGGAUGAAAGCGGGGGAUCUUCGGACCUCGCGCGGACGGAGCGGCCGAUGGCAGGUUCGGUAGUUGGUGGGAUAAAAGCUUACCAAGCCGACGAUCUGUAGCUGGGCUGAGAGGAUGAUCAGCCACACUGGGACUGAGACACGGCCCAGACUCCUACGGGAGGCAGCAGUGGGGAAUUUUGGACAAUGGGCGAAAGCCUGAUCCAGCCAUGCCGCGUGCAGGAUGAAGGCCUUCGGGUUGUAAACUGCUUUUGUACGGAACCAAAAGCCUCUUUCUAAUAAAGAGGGGUCAUGACGGUACCGUAAGAAUAAGCACCGGCUAACUACGUG
This 482-nucleotide ribosomal RNA is filed under the name uncultured bacterium. RNAcentral's name for it is "partial 16S ribosomal RNA". It matches the Rfam family "Bacterial small subunit ribosomal RNA", at positions 30 to 507 of the family's 1533-position model. The record is from RNAcentral.